Molecule: long non-coding RNA, 6584 nt
Organism: Cynoglossus semilaevis (tongue sole)
Lineage: Eukaryota; Metazoa; Chordata; Actinopteri; Pleuronectiformes; Cynoglossidae
Exons: 3
Source: RefSeq, a predicted model, not a curated record
UUUAAAAAAAAAAACGCUUCUUCACGCUUCUUGUUUACCCUCAGGUCAGGAACAUGCUGGGGCUAAAAACAAAAUCCCUACAUGACAUUUCCUAAUUAGGAUUAUUUCAACCAUCUACGUCAACACAGUUUAUCACCUGGCAUUUCAGUCACUCACAUUUCCGCUUGUUCUCUUUACAGCCCUUCGGUUCAACUUAACACCUCACAAUAGACAAAUGCAUUGACUUUUAAAUGCUGGCUAAUGUGAUCUGACGGGGCUGGACAGACUGAAAUCAAACGUGUCAUUAAGGCUGUUCCUUAUAAAGAAUAAGUAAAAGUGCAGACGGCCAGAAUGUCAGUGGAGUUAAAAGGGAUAUCAGGGACUUAAACACUGAAACCAGCUAAUCGUCACAUGAACAUGAACACCUUCUUUAAAAAUCUAUCCAUUAUACAAGGCAACAAAAGCUAUUGUUUCCCACAAUGCACAAGUCUUUUCUACGCGGAGAGACUAUCCAUGUGAAAGAAACUGGCUGCUGGUAUCAAAUACACUGCUAACACCGCACGUCAAACUCUCAAGUCAUCGGAUCCCGUGGAUAAAUCACUAAAUCACGCCACAAUAGCCGAGGACUGGGCUCAUUCACACAGGCCACAUGAAAAGGGAAGGAGAGAAAGAGGGAAGUCUGACUUCCAUGGCUCAGACCAGCCAUACAAAAGGCCCUGGAACAGCGCUGCCUCAGGACAAAAUCAUAUGACACUGGCGCACAGGAAAUCGCCAAAUUGCCUAUUGUUUAGGGCAACAUCAAAAUCCCUCUGCCUCCACACUGGGGGAGAGAUACGGGCUACGAGAACAUGUAAGAAGGGAUGGGAGGUCGCGUUCUGUAGCGUUCACACCAGGUUUAGGAGAAAGCAAAGGAAAAAAUGGAAAACAAUUACAGUAGAAGCUAUUUUUGUUCUUUUAUAAUGUUUCACGCUGCUUUAUACGACAUCUUCGUGAUUUUCUUGCCAACAGCAAAAACAAAAUCGCUGGAGUUUGAGUUGUGUUUAUGCUAGCUCAACCCUAACCACAGUGCGGACGCCAAGCAGUAAAAUUACCACAGCCAUAGUCUAUUUUUUUUUAUAACAAUCACUGUUUAGUCAAAGUAGAAACUAACAAACUGUGUGUUUUGUGUCAAACAAAGUCUUCAAACUAUCACCACAUCAGAAAAUGCCUCUCAGGUGUUUCCCCUGACGUACAUGGAAUAUCUCCAAACUGCAAACAUUGUUCCUCUGCCUAAAUAAUAUCCUCGUAAGGUCAAUGCCGUGAGAAAUAACAGUAACUGAAAAAUGGUUGUAGCAAAAGCUGUUACGGAGUUUUAGGUCGCUGGAUCAGAGCACGUUUAUUGAGUUCACGUAUUUGAAGCGUUCGGUGCAUCCCUAACACGUACACGAUGUGUAGAAAGACUACAUAAAUGUUUGUGUAAAUGUGCGUUCACAACAAAAUCCCACGUCGAAGUACACACCAUUUUAAAGUGAAUUCUAUGAAGAGGUGAGUGCAGCCGUGGAGGGUUGGAGGCAGGUAGAGCCCGAGGCCACGCCGGCUCUCAUCUAUUCAACUACACGACCCAUUAAGACAGCAGCUGUUCUCUGGCCUUUUCAUUCAUUCCUCCCACCUCAGCACACAACAAACACACACACAUUCACACACACAGUGUUUUAUCUGUGGCACGCCGCUGCUCCUAAAACAUCCUGCAGUGUGGAAAGUGAAUGCCAUCAGUUUCUCUGCGCACUUUUACAACGGCCGUUUACAAAAAGAUCCGUUUGUUAGCUCAGGUUUAUGAUUCACGAUGGUGUGCAAAUAGAAGUAAUCCUGCCGCACAAAUGCUUGAUUGUGCGCAAACCCACCUGUACGAGGGAGUGUGUGUGUGUGUGUGUGUGACCUUUAAUACAUGAGCGGCUCAUUAGUCAAAUACAUUCACCGACAACCGUCUGCUCAACAUGCAAACAGCUGUUAACUAUGAGUCAACACAUCGUGAAAACAGCAUAAACCCGGCAAAUAAAUUGGCGGUAAAUUAUCUCCUUCCAGGUCUUGACGACCAAUCAAAGGCGUAGACGUAGACGUAGAUCACUCUCCAGCUUCUAGAGCGUCAGUAACAAUUAUUUCCAAAUUCCAUUCCCUUCUCUUCUCACGACAAAGCCAAACAAAACUCUUUCUCGUACCACUGUGUUUUUCUAAAAGAUCAGUUUGUUUGUUCUUAAAUUGAUCUUUUUUUUAGUCUACUUCUCAUCAUUUCCACAGGAUUUUUAAUUUGACUGUGAACAGUGUUUGUUCAGCGUCAAGUGACAUCACAGAUAGACAAACAGCAAGUGACAAUCUUCACUUAACUAUUAAAUAAAUAUCUCUGUCACGACUUCUUAAUUUCCCACGACAUCAAUACAGUAACAUUUGUUCCACGAUCUGCGUCAUCCAAGAGGUUCUUCCUCACACCUGUACUGCAAUUUCAACUUUGUUUUUGCUUUUAAACUUUAGAAUUUCACAGAUCAACCAAGACAUUUGAGUUAAAAUACAAAUAAACCUUCUGAGCAGAGGUCAAACAAACGUAAUAUUACUUUUAAGACUGAAGAAAUGCUCCACACUAAGGCUGAUGCUACAUCAAAAUACAAAAACAUAAAACCUGAAUGCCAUUUUUGCAACAACUCGUAUAAGAUAGGCCUGAGUUUUUUGGAUUUUUUUAAUUUAGCUUGAAUCUCACUUGAAUCUUUUCUGAUUGUGACAGACAAAGACUCUCAGACUCUCUGAGGGUCUAACAGAAGAUCAUUCUACUCAAAUUUCGCCAGUUCAAAUCCAUUGUUGUGACACUGUCCAGGGCUACUGUGCUGUUCAAUCACAAACAUUUACAGGUUUAAAUCAAUCCAGGACCUGUGUAUUUACUCAGGCUUGUGUUUCUGCCAAUCAAAGGACGAGCUGUAAAGUCUAAUGUCCACAUGUAAGAAAGAACAACUUCCUGUGGUUCAAGUGGAUCGGCUGCCAAGGAACAGUCAGCAGUCUUCUGUGUGUGUGAGUGUGUGUAUGUGUCACUGGGUGUGUGUGUGUGUACACAUCUAUGUGAGCAAAUGUUAAAACAGCAGGACCAUAAUCCACAGAGUGUGUGUGUGUGUAAUAAUCUCCCACUAACCAGUCAUUGUUUUUACCGUUUGCCUAGGAAAAGCACGGUGAUUAACACACAUGUGUCUUUUCAAAACUUUAAAGCGACGACGACCGGAGUCUUCCCCUUUGGUAAACUCCGGUUGCUGGGACUGUGAUCUGGGUCGCCCCGUGUCAGUUAUACAGUGAGUGUUACUGUCUGGUUGAGGUAAUCCACAGAGGAGUUAGUGAUGAGCUCCACAGGACACUGUGUAAACAGCUGUGUCUCAGGAGUUUAUUUAGCGUGCGUGCGUGUGUUUAGGGAACUUCAAAAUGAACAAUAAUAGUUCUUUCACAAACACCAACCGAACACUGGAGGAUAUCCUGGUCGGCUACAUCCUUGUUCGGUAGUUAAUUUUAUCCCGCUCCGUUUAACAAGCAUCCUCCACAUGAGACCAUUUAAAAAAAUAACAAUAAUAUAAUAAUAAGAAGAAGAAUGUGAAAACUUUUUUUUAAGAAUUUUGAUUUUCAGUGUUUUUUUAGUUUACCUUGUUUACUUCAAGUCAUUUUCAUUUACUUCUUUCAUUUAACGAUAAUCUGGAUUUUUUUUUCCAAAUUAAUAUGUCUUUCAGAAUCUAGUACUAAUAGAAUAAAGUCUAAAAGAUGUUUUAUUAUGAAAAUCUACCGAUCUUCUGACUAUCCUUCAACCAUCAGUGCAGCUCCACCGGUCUGUAAUACCAGCCAGUACAAAAAAGUUGGCGACCACUGCCUUAGAAAAAUUAAAUUUGUAGGGUGUGCUGUUGAACAGCUUGUAUUUGGUUACGAAACUUUGCACACACAGAGCCAACCUCUUUGUGUGUGUGUUUAACGUUGACUGUACUGUGAGAAUUCCUGCAAACAAAACCAACAGACCAGAGUAAAGCAGUGAGGCCUAGAGGAUUAUAGGUGUCAUGACAGACUCUGUUACCUCAUAUUUACACCGUAAUCCCUUCAAUCAACGUUCAAAGUGUGAACACUGCAAAAUAUGACAAACAUUAUAACCACGUUAGCAGGCUCUGAAGUAAGAAAUCUAAUAAACUGUGUCACACAUGUGCCAUUUUGAUGUUACAUGUGGGACAUUUUUUCCGUGUCGUUGCGUCGAGUUUAAAACAGCGUGAAUUUUUUUCAGCAGUUUUCUAGGUUUCACAGCAGAUAAAUCGACAGAGAGCAAACACAACGGUGACGGAACUUUAAUCGUGGAGCUCAGUACACGUCCAGAAAAUAACACUAGGGAAUUCAGACAGUGUCCUGCAGUGCCCCCACGACGCCACAUGGAAAUCCUACAUACAGUGGGUGUUUACUGUUGUAAUUCAAUAUGACCUCAACAGUCUUCCCAACAAGGUCUGGACAAACCCUGGUCCAGUCCAACAUUUUAGUACACAGGGCCCAUAUGCACACUAACAAUGACUACCUGUGGGUCGUUCAUGCCAACGGUAAGUUCUAGCAGAGCGUGGAACUGUUGACCAUAUGUGAUCCAUACAAUCACCCUCUGCCCACCGGCUCUAACAGAGAUCAUGAAAGAGAGCGUGGAAGCCGCAGCACAGUGUGUUGAUGUGUGGGGGCUGGGACGGUGGUUAAGACAGGCAGGUAGAAUAUCAGAGAGGUUCAGGAGGCAGCCCCCCAACAUACACACACACACACACACACGUUCCACACACCCACGUUAGUCCUUUUCACCAUUAUCUGCUCUUGUCAUCUCCCUCUUUCAAGAGAUUGGGGAUCCUGUGGCAAGAACCAAGACCCCCAGCCCCCCUUGUCCACACACACACACACAGAGGGCCAGUGUUCUCCCCUGGGGGGCUGACUGAGAUGAAAGGAUGGUUGGUAAAGACGCAGAUAAAGCAGUACUUUGAGGGGCACAAAAACCCUGGGAACUCAGCUGGUAGUACUGGGUGGAGUCAAUGGAUGAGGUAAAUGACCCUAAUAACUCUGAACCAGCCUAGAGGGAGUUUUCCUGUCGGCUCACUGCUUUUCCUGCUCCUGUCUCCUCGGGACAGACACAGGAACUACUAAGUGCCUUCACUUUUACCUUUCUGGGGUAAAACAUCACAGAAAAUUUAAUAGUUUUACUUCUCAUAAGAGAAGUACAAUCUACUGGUCAACUUCAACAGUACUAGUACUGAGUACUGUGGAGACAGUCAUGACUAUGAAGUUGACAUGGAAGGAAAGAAAUGCACAAACAGCACAACAGGAAGUACGCUGUCACAAAAGUACUAUUUUUUAUUGUUAAUCUAACAGUAUAUCAGUUAAGGCAAUGAGUUACAAGAACAAUACACCUCAAUUCUCAAGUAAAAUCCUGCAGCCCGUUUAAAAACACUUAUCGAUGUACUUACUAAGAUUACCACAGGAGGGCGACAGAGACAACAGAUUGAAAAUGUUUGAUGGCGAUUUGACACGAGUCGGAUACAGUUGCGUUACAAUCUAACGGGAAAACUAUGAGGUGACCUAUGGUAAAGGGUGGUAAUAUUUCUGCUAGAUGAAAAAAUAAAUAAAGUUUUUGAUUAAAAUAUUAAAAAUAAAAAAGAUUAAAAUAUUAAAAAUACUUUUAUAGUUGUUAAACCGCUUACAUUUGUUUUCUGAUCAAAUAAAAGCUUUAAAAUAUGAAUAUAAAUAUGUUUAUAGUUGUCUGUAACUGGAAACUAAAUAUACUUGGUUUUAGGUGUAUAAAAAUAUUGUUUAAAUUGUUUAUCGAUUAUAAAAAUAAUCUUCAGCUGCCACUUUGUAUUACAAUUACGUUUUAUACAGAUGAGAUACUUGUAGGUACGCUAGAACAGUCUCAAAAAGAAUAAAUGCACAAACAAGGAUUCACAAAUGUACUUUGAAAAUUCACAAAUGUAUGCAUGUGAAGAUAUUUGUUAGUUUCAUAAAAUACAUUUGUGAAUUGUCUAACGCGCUUUUAUAACUUGCUUUUAGUAUGUAAAUCUCCCUGCAUUUGUUUGUGAUACACAAAUGCAUUUUUUCUACAUGGGGCCCGUCAGCCAAUCAGAUGUCACGUUCGUUUGCAGCCAAUCACACGACUGUAUCCCCAUGCGGGACUUGUGUGACGUCACUAUACCGUGCCACAGAUCCACCUGUCAUAACAGAAAUGACGUCUGAAAGCGGCUAUGGAGAGAGUUUAGAUAACUGGACAUGACAUUUGCAUUCAACAGAAGAGGUGGGCUAAGACACAACCUAUCACCCACACACUGAAACCAUUCUGAUGAGGAUUACAACGACCCAUCAGACUCCUAAUGACUGUUAACACUUCCCCAGAUGACCCUGACGGCCCACCCGACAGGAGGGACCUGAAAUCAUCAUUCUGAUGACUUAUAACUUUUCUCAACAACUGUCAUCACAUCAAUCAUUUACAGAAGAGUUCUCACCUUGUUGUCCUUUGAGGCACUGAUGAACAUGGUGAGGUCCACAGACGUCUGGAUGUCGUUGAUGUGCCUGCUGUGCUCCUCAGCUUUCUUCAGGACUUCCUGGAA